Molecule: ribosomal RNA, 477 nt
Filed under: uncultured bacterium
Lineage: Bacteria
Description: partial 16S ribosomal RNA
Rfam family: Bacterial small subunit ribosomal RNA
Source: RNAcentral
GACGAACGCUGGCGGCGUGCUUAACACAUGCAAGUCGAACGGGAUUUCGUAAACAGAAACCUCGGUGGAAGAUUACUAAUGAGAGUGGCGAACGGGUGAGUAACGCGUGAGCAACCUGCCUAUGACAGUGGGAUAGCCUCGGGAAACCGGGAUUAAUACCGCAUAAAAUCGUAGAAACACAUGUUUUAACGGUCAAAGAUUUAUCGGUCAUAGAUGGGCUCGCGUCUGAUUAGCUAGUUGGUGAGAUAACAGCCCACCAAGGCGACGAUCAGUAGCCGGUCUGAGAGGAUGAACGGCCACAUUGGAACUGGGACACGGUCCAAACUCCUACGGGAGGCAGCAGUGGGGAAUAUUGCACAAUGGGGGAAACCCUGAUGCAGCGACGCCGCGUGAACGAAGAAGGUAUUCGUAUCGUAAAGUUCUGUCAUAUGGGAAGAUAAUGACAGUACCAUAGAAGAAAGCUCCGGCUAAAUACGU